This is a non-coding RNA of Acanthosepion pharaonis, 111 nucleotides long. NCBI's taxonomy places the organism in Eukaryota, Metazoa, Mollusca, Cephalopoda, Sepiida, Sepiidae. The record is from the annotation of a GenBank genome assembly.
UACGGCUAUGUCUCGUUGAAACACCCGUUCUCGUCUGAUCACUGAAGUUAAGCAACGUCGAACCCAGUCAAUACCUAGAUGGGUCAUCACUUGGGAAUACCAGCUUCUGUA